RNAcentral lists this ribosomal RNA (516 nucleotides) under uncultured bacterium. Its description in RNAcentral is "bacterial SSU rRNA". It matches the Rfam family "Bacterial small subunit ribosomal RNA", at positions 28 to 536 of the family's 1533-position model. The record is from RNAcentral.
GAUGAACGCUAGCGACAGGCCUAACACAUGCAAGUCGAGGGGCAGCACGAGGUAGCAAUACUUGGGUGGCGACCGGCGGACGGGUGAGUAACACGUAUGCAACCUGCCCGUAAUCGGGGGAUAACCCGGAGAAAUUCGGACUAACACUCCAUGCACCUGAAAUGUCACAUGACGAAUCAGGUAAACGCAAGGAUUACGGAUGGGCAUGCGGAUGAUUAGCUAGUUGGAGGGGUAACGGCCCGCCAAGGCGACGAUCAUUAGGGGUUCUGAGAGGAAGGUCCCCCACAUUGGAACUGAGAAACGGUCCAAACUCCUACGGGAGCAGCAGUGAGGAAUAUUGGUCAAUGGGCGAGAGCCUGAACCAGCCAAGUCGCGUGAAGGAAGAAGGUCUUAUGGAUUGUAAACUUCUUUAGCAGAGGAUAAAGGUUAUUACGAGUUAAUAAUUUGCUAGGUACUCUGACGAAAAAGGAUACGGCUAACUCCGUGCCAGCAGCCGACGGUAAAAGUGUGUGUACG